This 400-nucleotide ribosomal RNA is filed under the name uncultured bacterium. RNAcentral describes it as "bacterial SSU rRNA". It matches the Rfam family "Bacterial small subunit ribosomal RNA", at positions 28 to 434 of the family's 1533-position model. The record is from RNAcentral.
AAUGAACGCUGGCGGCGUGCUUUACACAUGCAAGUCGAGCGAGGCGGCCCGCAAGGGCCAGUCGAGCGGCGAACGGGUGAGUAACGCGUGGAUUAUCUGCCCUGAGGUGGGGGAUAACCCGGGGAAACUCGGGCUAAUACCGCAUAGGACCGUGAGGUCAAAGGGGGGUCGCAAGAUCUCUCGCCAUUGGAGGAGUCCGCGUUCGACUAGCUAGUUGGUAGGGUAAUGGCCUACCAAGGCGACGAUCGAUAGCCGGCCUGAGAGGGUGAUCGGCCACACUGGAACUGAGACACGGUCCAGACUCCUACGGGAGGCAGCAGUGGGGAAUUUUGCGCAAUGGGCUAACGCCUGACGCAGCAACGCCGCGUGGAGGAUGAAGGUCUUUGGAUUGUAAACUCCU